CUCACAGUUUUGUAUCUGGGACCGCAAAACCUCCUGCACAAUUCGAAUACGGCUUGCUUGACUCCAUUUUGUUUAAAAGUUUAUAUUAAUUUCCAGAAGACAUUUUUUACAUCCCUAAAGUCACAAAUUCACUCGCUUUCACUUACAUCACCAUGGCCAGACCCACGCAACAGUGAAAUGCGAUACGCAUACUGAAGCAGAGUGUUCAACUCCGCGGAUAACCACUUGGAACAAUAGUGAGAUUUUGCCUUGCUACUUCAAGAACCCUUGCAAUAGCUGCAGCAGAGUCUUUGUCUUUUGGCUAAUUACAAGGAAUGGAUUCCUCAACUCUGCUAUUUAACCAGCUCAAGGCAGCAGAACCAUUUUUCUUAUUAGCAGGCCCCAAUGUGAUUGAAUCUGAGGAACACCUUCUUAGAAUGGCCAGCCACCUCAAGACGAUUGCAUCAAAACUUGGGUUGCCAUUGGUUUUUAAGUCAAGCUUUGACAAAGCUAACAGAACAUCCUCGAAGUCAUUCCGAGGUCCAGGCAUGAUUGAAGGCUUGAAGAUUCUUGAGAAAGUUAAAAUAGCAUAUGAUCUUCCUAUUGUUACUGAUGUGCACGAAACUAUUCAGUGUGAACCAGUUGGCAGAGUUGCAGAUAUCAUACAGAUUCCAGCAUUUUUAUGUCGUCAGACAGAUCUUCUAGUUUCAGCUGCCAAGACUGGGAAGAUUAUCAAUAUUAAAAAAGGCCAGUUUUGUGCUUCUUCUGUCAUGAUAAAUUCUGCUGAGAAAGUUAGAUUGGCUGGAAAUUCAAAUGUCAUGGUUUGUGAACGAGGAACUAUGUUUGGCUAUAAUGAUUUGAUCGUUGAUCCACGUAAUUUUGAGUGGAUGAGGGAAGCUGAUUGUCCUGUUGUAGCUGAUGUGACACAUUCACUACAACAGCCUGCUGGGAGAAAGUUGGAUGGUGGAGGUGUUGCUAGUGGAGGUCUCCGUGAAUUAAUACCAUGCAUUGCAAGGACAGCAGUAGCUGUUGGAGUGGAUGGAAUUUUCAUGGAGGUGCAUGAUGAUCCUUUGAAUGCCCCUGUGGAUGGUCCAACGCAAUGGCCUCUGCGGAAUUUGGAGGAACUGCUAGAAGAGCUCAUGGCAAUAGCUAGGGUCAGUAAGGGGAAGAGACGAAUGGAGAUUGAUCUCACACCCUUCCGUGAAUAGAAAAGCUUGAAGGCCUCUCUGAAGGAGUAAGCAAGAGACAAUUAUUGGAUUCGACAGAAGUAUCAAAUUCGGCUGAUCAUUUGGUCGGUCCUCCCGAGGAUGCUUUCUCCCCUUUCUUCCUUCAUCACUUUGAGAACCACAGCUCUGUCGUUGUAAUGCCUGAGAUGGUGCCAAACAACUUUCCAUCCUGGCUAAGAUCUUUCCAUCUGGAUUUUUAGAUGGCACUGUUCCUAAACCUUCACCGGUGGAUCCUCUGUACCUGCCAUGGACAAGAUGCAAUAAUUUCAUUGUUGCGUGGCUUCUUUGAUCAAUUUUUCCUUCAAUAGCCUCAAUUGUUUUUUAUCUGAAAGAUACAAACUAAAUUUGGUACAAGUUGCAUAAAAAGUUUUCUCAGCCAGAUGACUCGCGAAUUUGUCACCUGUAAAAUCUGGACUGUACUAUCACAGUCACUUAAGGUACAAAAUCUGUAGAUGCCUAUUUUACCGAGUUAAACGGAAUAUGGGAAGAACAUAGGGUCUAUAGGCCUCUUCCUUCUUGUUGUUGUGGAAAGUGUAACAGUGAAUAUUUUCAAAAGUAUAUUGAGGUCUUGCAAAAGGAUUGUGUAUUCAGGUUCUUGAAUGGCUUAAAUAAAACAUAUCCAGGCCUUAGAUCACAACUUAUUAAUAUGGAGCCCUUUCCCUCACUUGAUCAAGUUUACAAUAUGGUAUUGAGAGAAGAAAUAAAAAGAUCUAUCUUACUGCUGACUCAAUCUUUCACAGAAUCUAGUGCUGUGGCUAUCAAGAAAGGCAAAAGUGAUCUAGUUUGUUUUCACUAUGGUAAGCCAGGGCACGUUAAGGCACAAUGCUACAGGUUUGUAGGUUUUCCGCUAGAUUUUAAGUUUACAAAAUCCAAAACCAUCAGCAAUAUGAAUUCAAGGCAAGCUUCUGUUCAACAAGUUUUUGGUGGAUGUUCUUCUAAUUCAGCUGAAGGAUUCUCUCAUAUUGGUCUCUUUAAGGAACAAAUUUAGUAACUCAUGAAUCUUCUUAAUGACAAUACUGCAACCACGAUGCAAUCAAGUACAGGACCUAUUAAUUCUGUUUAGUUCAAACCUCAUAUCUGCACAAGUUAACAUUGCAGGUAUAAAUGCUAUAUCUCAGUACUCUUCUUAUUUUAGUACAGAGAUUUCUAUUUAUAGAGAUUUCUAUUGAUUGUAACAUAGAUGUGGGUGCCACUGAUCAUAUCUCAUGUAAUUCAACUUUAUUCACUGAUCUCAAGUGUGUGGUUAAGUCUUUUGUUUUUUGGCCAAAUGGACAAAAGGGUCAAGUUAUAGGAGUUGAGACAGUACACCUCAGUCAUUCACUUGUUCUUCAUAAUGUGUUAUUUAUUUCGGAAUUUAGUUUUAACCUGAUGUCUGUAAGCAAGUUGAUUGAUACUGAAAAAAUCUGUCAGUUUCAUGGCUAAUAAUUGUAUCAUUCAGAACCUUUUUUCAUGGAAGAAGAUUGGACUGGCUAAGCAGGAAGGUGGAUUGUUCAUCCUAAAGGCUAAGUCCAUAUGUCUCUCUUCAAUUGCUGUCCUUACACAAUCUUAUAAAGAUUUUUUCUUUUUAUAUUUGGCAUCAUAGGCUAGGACAUCCCUAUGAUGGAAGGAUGCUUUCUUUACGGUCACAAUUAAAGCUUCUUUCUAAUAAGACUUGUCCAUGUGAUGCCUGUUCAAGAGCUAACCAAAGGAGGUUGCCUUUUCUUGAACAUGUCUGUGCCACUACUUCUACUUUUGAAUUGGUUCACAUGGAUGUGUGGGGACCCUAUUCUCAAUGUGAUAUCAAUAAAAAUCACUAAAUCACUACUUUCUCACUGUAGUAGAUGAUUUCUCCAAAUUUGUAUGGACUUUUCUUAUGAAAUCAAAAUCAGAGUUUUAUUUCUUGUGCCUCGGUUCUAUGCAUAUGUUAAUACUCAGUUUCACACAUCUAUCAAGUAAAUAAGGACUGAUAAUGGCAGUGAAUUCUUUCUUCCUUCUUUUUUUGCUUUUAGUGGUAUCAUGCAUCAAAUACGUUGCAUUUAUACCCUUCAGCAGAAUGAGGUGGUUGAAAGAAAACAUCAACAUUUGUUAAAUGUUUCCCAAGCUCUUUUAUUUCAAUCUCGACUUCCUGUAUCUUUUUAAGGUUGUGCAGUCCUGGCAAGCACAUUCUUAAUCAAUAGAAUUCCUCUAGUCAAGCUCAAUGACAAGUCUCCUUAUGAAGUGCUCUUUCACAAAGCUCCUGCUUAUUGACAUCUGAAAUCUUUUGGCUGCUUAUGUUAUGCUUCCAAUUUGAUAGCUCACAGAACUAAAUUUUAGUCUAGAUUUCGAAAAUGUGUCUUUAUUGGGUAUGCAGUAGGAGUGAAGGGUUACAAGUUAUAUGACUUGGACACAAAUUCUUACUUUUAUCUCCCGGGAUGUCUUAUUUCAUGAAACAGUUUUUCCCUUUCAGAACAUCUCCUCACCACUUAAUUCAAGUUCUCUUGAUGUUCCUAACAUGGUGUUACUUACAGUUCCUGAUCCAAGUGUGUUCCCUGAGAUUCCAAAUAGUAAUGUGCCCAUUUCAUCCUCUCUAUCUCCAGUUAGAUAUGAAACUCCAGUCUCUCUUGCACCUUCUCCUGCUUUCACUCUCCCUGAUUCAUCUCCACCCCCUGUCCAAAGGAAAAGCACUAGACACACUAAACUACCAAACUGUCUUCAUGACUACCAUAUCUUACUUCAGACUUCAUCUCAGUCGUUCCUUCCUAGUUCAGUUUGUACUUACUCGAUACAGAAUCACCUCUCCUAUGAUAGGCUAUCAUCCUCCUAUAGAUCCUUCAUUUUAAAUAUGUCUGCCACUUGUGAACCUCACACUUAUGAUCAAACUAUUAAAUUUGAUCAUUGGAAGCAGGCCACGAGGGAAGAAAUUCAAGCUCUAGAGGCAAAUCACACUUAGAUUCUCACACCAUUGCCUACAAGAGCCAAGUCUGUAGGAUGUAAAUAGGUAUACAGAGUGAAAUUUAACUCUGAUGGUUCUAUUGAUAGGUAUAAAGCCAGGUUGGUGGCUAAAGGAUAUACUGAGAGGCCUGGUUUUGACUUCCAAGAGACAUUAAGUCCAGUUGCUAUGCAGACCACAGUAAGAACUUUCCUAGCACUUGCUGCUAUAUAUGGUUGGUUUUUAAUCUCAAUUAGACAUCAAUAAUGCAUUCCUCAAUGGUGAUCUACAUGAAGACGUUUUUAUGGAUAUUCCUUUGGGUUAUGAGGGCAAGGGGGAGUAUGGGAAUCAAUAAAAGCUUGUUUGUAAACUUCAAAAGUCUUUGUAUGGUUUAAAGUAAGCUUCAAGACAGUGGAAUCUAAACUUCAAUUAGGUUUUAUUCUGUCUAAAUGUGAUUAUUCUCUCUUCACUAAGACUGAGAAUGAAGGAUUCAUAGCUGUUUUAGUUUAUGCGGAUGACAUUAUGAUUGACAGCAGUAACAAGAAGUUGAUUGAGAAAUUCAAAAGCUGUUUGCAGAAUCAUUUCAAGUUGAAAGACUUAGGCACUCUUCAAUACUUUUUAGGGCUUGAAGUAGCCAGAUCUGGCAAAGGGAUUGCAAUCUCUCAGAGAAAAUUUGUAUCGAAAUUCUUAGAAGAAUAUGGUUUGUUGGCUGCAAAACCAAGUUCAGUUCUCUUUGAAGUUAAUGCCAAGCUAAUGCACUUCACAGAAGACUUACUUUCUAAUCCUACUAUCUAUAGACAAUUAAUAGGCAAGCUCAUGUAUGUUCAGUUGACCAGGCCUAAUAUUCCCUACAGUGUACAUGUCCUUUCUCAAUUUAUGGACAAGCCAACUCAAACACAUCUCAAUGCAGCAUACAAGAUACUGAAAUACUUAAAAAAUGCUCCCCGGAUAAGGCUUGUUCUUAGCUGCAAGUUCAGAAUUAAAGUUAACUGCAUACUCAAAUAGUGUGACUGGGCUGGAUGUACAGAAACAAGGUCCACAACUGGUUUUUGUGUAUUUCUUUGGAAUUCCUUAAUCAGUUGGAAAUCGAAGAAACGAGCCACAGUCUCUAGAAGUUCUGCAGAAGCCGAGUACAGAUCGAUGCAGCAGUAACUUUUGAAGUACUUUGGUUAAUAUCCCUAUUAACAGAUUUCAAUGUUGUUGUACCUCAUCCUGUGAAGCUCCUUUUUGAAGUAUGUCAGCAAUUUAAAUCUCCAAGAACCCUGUUCUCCAUGAAAGAACUAAACAUAUUGAAUUGGAUUACCAUUUCAUUAGAGAGAAGGUGAUGCUUGGGGUCAUACAACUAGAAUACAUUGGCACUAAGGAGCAGACAACUGACUUAUUCACUAAAACACUGCAUCCGAGACAAUUUAACUAUCUUUUAAACAAGUUGAACAUAAACAAUAUAUAUGUCCAACUUGAGGGGAGUAACAAGAUGGUUUGUAUAGUAGAGCUGAGCUUAAUUAGCUGGUUGGUUAGCCCAACUUAUCCAGUUAAAGUAGAUAGUUGUCAUUACCAUGUAACACGUGAAUUGAGAAGGUUGAUACGCCUAUAUAUAAAGAUUACAGCCAUAUGAAUAAAAUACAGAUUCUCAUUUACGUAAAACUCCGGACAAUUUGAUAUAUUUAUGCUGUAUUAUUUAGUUG
RNA transcript from Manihot esculenta (cassava), 5777 nucleotides. It is a transcript of the gene named 2-dehydro-3-deoxyphosphooctonate aldolase, with no coding region annotated. NCBI's taxonomy places the organism in Eukaryota, Viridiplantae, Streptophyta, Magnoliopsida, Malpighiales, Euphorbiaceae. The record is from RefSeq and is a predicted model, not a curated record. The transcript is spliced from 15 exons.